AACGCGAAGAACCUUACCAGCCCUUGACAUGUCCCGUAUGGGUUUCAGAGAUGAGAUCCUUCAGUUCGGCUGGCGGGAACACAGGUGCUGCAUGGCUGUCGUCAGCUCGUGUCGUGAGAUGUUGGGUUAAGUCCCGCAACGAGCGCAACCCCCGUCUUUAGUUGCCAUCAUUUAGUUGGGCACUCUAAAGAGACUGCCGGUGAUAAGCCGCGAGGAAGGUGGGGAUGACGUCAAGUCCUCAUGGCCCUUACGGGCUGGGCUACACACGUGCUACAAUGGCGGUGACAGAGGGAUGCAAAGGGGCGACCCUUCGCAAAUCUCAAAAAGCCGUCUCAGUUCGGAUUGGGCUCUGCAACUCGAGCCCAUGAAGUUGGAAUCGCUAGUAAUCGCAGAUCAGCACGCUGCGGUGAAUACGUUCCCGGGCCUUGUACACACCGACGCGUA
This 444-nucleotide ribosomal RNA is filed under the name uncultured bacterium. RNAcentral's name for it is "bacterial SSU rRNA". It matches the Rfam family "Bacterial small subunit ribosomal RNA", at positions 958 to 1399 of the family's 1533-position model. The record is from RNAcentral.